UGAGGAAUCUUGCGCAAUGGGGGAAACCCUGACGCAGCAACGCCGCGUGAGUGAGGAAGGCCUUCGGGUCGUAAAGCUCUGUCAGAUGGGAAGAAAUGGGUGGGGGCUAAUAUCGUCCAUCCUUGACGGUACCAUCAGAGGAAGCACCGGCUAACUCCGUGCCAGCAGCCGCGGUAAUACGGGGGGUGCAAGCGUUGUUCGGAAUCAUUGGGCGUAAAGCGCGCGCAGGCGGCUUGGUAAGUCAGAUGUGAAAUCCCUGGGCUUAACCCAGGAAGUGCAUUUGAUACUGCCUCGCUAGAGUACGGGAGAGGAAAGUGGAAUUCCUGGUGUAGGAGUGAAAUCCGUAGAUAUCAGGAGGAACACCGGUGGCGAAGGCGGCUUGCUGGGCUGCAACUGACGCUGAAGCACGAAAGUGUGGGGAGCAAACA
This 428-nucleotide ribosomal RNA is filed under the name uncultured prokaryote. Its description in RNAcentral is "bacterial SSU rRNA". It matches the Rfam family "Bacterial small subunit ribosomal RNA", at positions 355 to 774 of the family's 1533-position model. The record is from RNAcentral.